RNAcentral lists this ribosomal RNA (577 nucleotides) under uncultured bacterium. Its description in RNAcentral is "bacterial SSU rRNA". It matches the Rfam family "Bacterial small subunit ribosomal RNA", at positions 102 to 694 of the family's 1533-position model. The record is from RNAcentral.
ACGGGUGAAUAACGCGUGGAUAAUCUGCCCUUCAGUGGGGAAUAACUAUCCGAAAGGAUAGCUAAUACCGCAUGAGACCACAGGAUCUGCGGAUCUAGAGGUUAAAGAUUUAUCGCUGAAGGAUGAGUCAGCGUGGGAUUAGCUAGUUGGUGAGGUAACGGCUCACCAAGGCUACGAUCCCUAGCUGGUCUGAGAGGAUGACCAGCCACACUGGAACUGAGACACGGUCCAGACUCCUACGGGAGGCAGCAGUAGGGAAUAUUGCGCAAUGGGCGAAAGCCUGACGCAGCGACGCCGCGUGAGUGAUGAAGGCCUUAGGGUCGUAAAGCUCUGUUGAAUGGGAAGAAACAAAUGACGGUACCAUUCGAGGAAGGACCGGCUAACUUCGUGCCAGCAGCCGCGGUAAGACGAGGGGUCCUAGCGUUGUUCGGAAUCAUUGGGCGUAAAGCGUGUGUAGGUGGCCAUGUAAGUCAGGUGUGAAAGCCCGGGGCUCAACCCGGGAAGUGCAUCUGAUACUGCGUGGCUUGAGUACCAAAGAGGGUAGUGGAAUUCCAGGUGUAGUGGUGAAAUACGUAGA